RNAcentral lists this ribosomal RNA (483 nucleotides) under uncultured bacterium. RNAcentral describes it as "bacterial SSU rRNA". It matches the Rfam family "Bacterial small subunit ribosomal RNA", at positions 30 to 507 of the family's 1533-position model. The record is from RNAcentral.
UUGAACGCUGGCGGCAUGCCUUACACAUGCAAGUCGAACGGCAGCACGGGAGCAAUCCUGGUGGCGAGUGGCGAACGGGUGAGUAAUAUAUCGGAACGUGCCCGGUCGUGGGGGAUAACGUAGCGAAAGCUACGCUAAUACCGCAUACGAUCUACGGAUGAAAGCGGGGGAUCGCAAGACCUCGCGCGAUUGGAGCGGCCGAUAUCAGAUUAGGUAGUUGGUGAGGUAAAGGCUCACCAAGCCGACGAUCUGUAGCUGGUCUGAGAGGACGACCAGCCACACUGGGACUGAGACACGGCCCAGACUCCUACGGGAGGCAGCAGUGGGGAAUUUUGGACAAUGGGCGCAAGCCUGAUCCAGCAAUGCCGCGUGCAGGAUGAAGGCCCUCGGGUUGUAAACUGCUUUUGUACGGAACGAAAAGGUUUCUAUUAAUACUAGGAGCUCAUGACGGUACCGUAAGAAUAAGCACCGGCUAACUACGUG